AAAAGGAAAACAAGCAAGAACGGAGAGAGAGCUGGAGAAAUAGGAGAGCUCGAGAGAGAGAGAGAGAGAGGAGAAAAGGGAGAGAGCGAACCAGAGGGAGGAGGGAAGCUCGAGGGAGCAGCUAGCCGUUGCCGGAGGCCCGUUCGUCCGCCCGUUGCCCGCCGUCCGAACCAGGAGGGGCGAGAGGCUGAAGACGAAGCCGAGACAAAACACAGAGAGAAAUCGAGAGAGAGAGAGAGAGAGGAGGAGUCCGAGCGAGGAAGCGACUAAGGGAGAGGAAGUGAGCUUCAGCCGUCGCCUCAGCUGCGCGCGAGCCCCGCCUGACGACCCCUCGGCCAACGUCCUCAAAUUGGAUCCGGUACGUCCUCCUUGCGCCCUGUUUUCACCCGGUUCUGUGCAUCCCGGGCCGGAGUUUGCGUUCGAAUGGUUUGCGUGAACUCCGGCCCUGUCCACUCCCUGUUUGGUUGCUGUAUGUCUUAUUGUUUAUUGGUGAGUCUCGGUUUGUGUUCGGGUCCUAGUUGAGCUAGAAACUUGUGAUUCGGGAGCGCCCUCCACCUGUUUGAUAGAAUGCCACAACGAGAUCCAGUCUCCGUGGCUUUGUCUUUGACUGAAAUCGAGUUGUCCGAGCGUGUCGCGCUCUAUUGUGAUGUUCCGGUGGUGUUGGGUGACCUUGGGCGUCGGUCGUGUGGUCAUUCGCUACGUUCCCAUCUUCGUUGUUGCUUGUUCGGUGUUUGGCCGAGGAGGGCAUGCUCGGCCG
This 757-nucleotide long non-coding RNA is filed under the name Eucalyptus grandis. RNAcentral describes it as "long non-coding RNA (EGRA_LNC003017)". Lineage: Eukaryota; Viridiplantae; Streptophyta; Magnoliopsida; Myrtales; Myrtaceae. The record is from RNAcentral.